UCGACAAAGGCUUCAAUGAGGACGUCGAAGGAAUAAGUGGGGGAGAAUGUCACGGACAAACUUCUAAACAAGAUGUUUGAUGUAAUGCUCAUGUAUGUCCGUGUCUUUUGGCAUGUUCAUGCCUUGUACAGCACGUAGAGGGGCGGCCGAAGGCUUAAUAGUCCCAUUUUAGUUGGGUUGGUGGCCUCUUUAGGCUUGUAAAUAAAGGUUGUGUCAUGUGGACACAUGUGAGAGAUUUUCGGUCUAUAAUGGAUCAUUUUACCCUUUGUUGUGCCACUGUUCAGAGCUUGUAAAGUCUGUUUGUAAUUUGCAUUGUCUAUGAAGUGUUUUUCGGAGAUGUUUGCUUGUGGAUCC
RNAcentral lists this long non-coding RNA (354 nucleotides) under Musa acuminata (dwarf banana). Its description in RNAcentral is "long non-coding RNA (MACU_LNC009060)". The record is from RNAcentral. Lineage: Eukaryota; Viridiplantae; Streptophyta; Magnoliopsida; Zingiberales; Musaceae.